AUGGGAUUAAUUGCAGUCCUUGAGUUGACUUCUUAAAAGCAUUUAAUUUAGUGUUAAGUUUCAGUGAUGUAAUAAAUGAAUUGGAGAAAAACUACGGGUAUGGAGAAUAAUCUGGAAGGCACUGUAGUAACCCAGAGAUAAGAAUGAAGGGGACAGCAGUCUAAAAGACAACUAAAGGAUCAGAGAACAUCGAGAAAGAAGGAAUGGAAAUAUUUUAAGAGCCAGAGGACCAGAACAUUUGCUGAAAGCCUAUAUAACCAGAGAAGAAGAAGUUCUUUAUAUUACAUUGUGCUUGGAGAAAAGGAUUUAGAGAGGGCAUCAAGUGUCUGAACCCCUGUUGCUACUCUAUGCUUCAAAGGUGAGGACAAUAGGCCAGGCAAUGCUGGCUGUUCUAGCACAGGCCAUCAUUUCUGUAUGAAUACAAAUCCUAGAGGAAGAUUGAUGAGAAUGAUUUCAAAGUGCUCAAGUGAUCAAGAACAACCAGUUUGAAAACUACGGCAAAUGAGAAGACAGAUGAAAACUCCACUCAAAUAAGAACAGAACCAAUACCAUAUGCAGACGUGAUGUGCUACAAGAAACUGGUUCAUGAGGUCAAGAUUCAGGAGAGCCAACAGUGCAGGUCCAGUCUGAGGACCAGGAGAAAGGAUGGUGACUUGUCUUCAGGCCUGAGACUCAGGAAUGGCCAGUUUUAUUGUAAUUCUAAAUUCAAGGGGGAGCGAAACAUAUAAAAAUAAGGUAAACCUGUUUUGAUUAUCUGACCACUCAUCAAACACUUCUAACGAAUUCUGGAAAAUAAGAAAUGUAACUCACUUGACCUAUGACUUUCAUUUAAUGGCCUUACAUACAUUAUCUGUAAG
Non-coding RNA from Myodes glareolus (Bank vole), 857 nucleotides. The record is from RefSeq and is a predicted model, not a curated record. NCBI's taxonomy places the organism in Eukaryota, Metazoa, Chordata, Mammalia, Rodentia, Cricetidae.